RNAcentral lists this ribosomal RNA (253 nucleotides) under uncultured bacterium. Its description in RNAcentral is "partial 16S ribosomal RNA". It matches the Rfam family "Bacterial small subunit ribosomal RNA", at positions 524 to 776 of the family's 1533-position model. The record is from RNAcentral.
UACGUAGGGUGCGAGCGUUGUCCGGAAUUAUUGGGCGUAAAGGGCUCGUAGGCGGUUUGUCGCGUCGGGAGUGGAAACCAGGUGCUUAACACCUGGCUUGCUUUCGAUACGGGCAGACUAGAGGUAUUCAGGGGAGAACGGAAUUCCUGGUGUAGCGGUGAAAUGCGCAGAUAUCAGGAGGAACACCGGUGGCGAAGGCGGUUCUCUGGGCAUGACCUGACGCUGAGGAGCGAAAGUGUGGGGAGCGAACAGG